Molecule: long non-coding RNA, 1769 nt
Organism: Acanthopagrus latus (yellowfin seabream)
Lineage: Eukaryota; Metazoa; Chordata; Actinopteri; Spariformes; Sparidae
Exons: 4
Source: RefSeq, a predicted model, not a curated record
UUGGAGCUCCAAGCUCAUAUCACCACGGUAACUGACUGCUGCUCUUUGCCAACUGUCCUUGGCUGUAACUCAUGGCCUAUUUAGCCACGGAGCCAGCGGCCCUGGAGUUUCUCUGGAUCGGGACGUCAGUCGUAGAGGGAGUCACCACGGCCAACGAGGCUCAGCUCAACUGGAUUUGGCUGCCUGACAUGAGAGUGCACACGGCUGGACACUGAACUGGGACUGGGCAGCCUCCAAGACCAACUGAGGUUCUGUGGCAGUCAGACAAACUCGGAUUGGAAGCAUCACUGGAUUCCAGGUACCAUGUAACUGCCCGCGAGAUCACGUGGAUGGAGCUUUGGAAGUCAAAACCAGCUAAACUAAAGUUUCUCAUCCAGGCAAUGUACGAUGUUAUCCAAAGCCCACCCAACCUGCACUGCUGGGGUCAAGCAACACCCCUGCAUGCUCUCUGUGCCACAGAAGAGGUUCAUUGGAGCACAUCUUAAGCUGCCACGCCGAAAGCCCAGGGAGAGGGGAGGUACAGGUGGUGAAGGCAGUAGCUGACACCAUCUGCACUGGCAUUCAGCUGAGCGAACACCAUAUUGCUACAACCUGGCAUAGCUGUUAUAAGUUUGGAAAACUUAUGGCUGACUAUGGCUCAGGGGUAGAGCAAGGGGUUUUUUUUUUUUUCCAUCAGAAGGUCGCUGGUUAGAUUCCCCUGGUCUGCAUGUUGAAGUGUCCUUGGGCAACCCCAAACUGCUCCUGAUGUGCUGGUCAGCACUUUGCAUGGCAGCCACUACCAUUAGUGUAUGAAUGUAUGUAUGUAUUAAGUUGCUUUGGACAAAAGCCCUAGAAUCUGAAUGCAGAUACAACUUUGCUAUACAUUUUUAAAUGUCACACAUUUCAUUACGUCUUCCUCCAUCUCAUUGCCCUUCUUGAUUUAACUAAACGUGACUCUUAGUUCUUUAUCAUGCCCGCCUCCAGCGUUUCUGCGUUCGGGUCCUCACACCAGCCACCCCCCAGUGACGAAUUACCACCCUGCCCUUUCUACUCAUCUGCAGCCGAUCUCAUCAACAAGACCUCCCAGUGGACGUCUGUCCCAAUACAUUACAUCAGCUGACAUCUUCGACCAUGAUGCUAUGACACACACUCUCUAUACUGUGAACUCCAGCACAUCCCAUGAUGAAGAGGUUUGCACAAAACUGUACAGCUUUCACUGAAGAGGAGGAGGAAGAGAUAAGAGGAAGAAGAGAUGGAGGAAGAAGAAGAUGAGAGAAGAUGAGAGAAGGAGAGGAAGACGACGAGACAGGAGGACAAAUAGCAAGAGGAGAACUGAGCAAGAGGAUAAGAAUGGAGACAAAGAGAUCUCCUUUCAGAACUAAAAUGUCAGCGUUGCUGGUUUUCAUCGCGAUCGGAGAACAAAGUCACUCAGGACAGGCACGUCACAGAGCUCCGCGAAAGCCUGGAGGAAGGUGCAACUGUAUCGGGAGAAAGCUGUCCAAGUCAAGGUUACUCCGAUCACCUGAGAAGUUCUGGCUGUCAUCUCUACGUGACACAGCAGCAGGAAGGCGCGAUGGAAUGGAGAAGGUGAACAAACAAAAAUGCAAGGUCGCUGCUGGGUGAUUAAUGACUGCAACACAGUUUCUGAUACAGUCUUUAUAUGAAACGCGCUGCGGUAGAGGUAAUAAAGACGGCUGUUAACAUCUGCACAUGUUCACCAUUGACGUGAUACUGAUGGCAUUUUUCUCAUUUUCCAAUUUGCAGUUGCAUAACUACAAAUGACAAGUGUU